UGAUUUACAUUUGAGUGAGUGGCGAACUGGUGAGUAACACGUGGGAAACCUGCCCAGAAGCGGGGGAUAACACCUGGAAACAGAUGCUAAUACCGCAUAACAACUUGGACCGCAUGGUCCGAGUUUGAAAGAUGGCUUCGGCUAUCACUUUUGGAUGGUCCCGCGGCGUAUUAGCUAGAUGGUGAGGUAACGGCUCACCAUGGCAAUGAUACGUAGCCGACCUGAGAGGGUAAUCGGCCACAUUGGGACUGAGACACGGCCCAAACUCCUACGGGAGGCAGCAGUAGGGAAUCUUCCACAAUGGACGAAAGUCUGAUGGAGCAACGCCGCGUGAGUGAAGAAGGGUUUCGGCUCGUAAAACUCUGUUGUUAAAGAAGAACAUAUCUGAGAGUAACUGUUCAGGUAUUGACGGUAUUUAACCAGAAAGCCACGGCUAACUACGUGCCAGCAGCCGCGGUAAUACGUAGGUGGCAAGCGUUGUCCGGAUUUAUUGGGCGUAAAGCGAGCGCAGGCGGUUUUUUAAGUCUGAUGUGAAAGCCUUCGGCUCAACCGAAGAAGUGCAUCGGAAACUGGGGAACUUGAGUGCAGAAGAGGACAGUGGAACUCCAUGUGUAGCGGUGAAAUGCGUAGAUAUAUGGAAGAACACCAGUGGGCGAAGGCGGCUGUCUGGGUCUGUAACUGACGCUUGAGGCUCGAAAGUAUGGGUUAGCAAACAAGGAAUAGAUACCCUGGUAGUCC
Molecule: ribosomal RNA, 738 nt
Filed under: uncultured bacterium
Lineage: Bacteria
Description: bacterial SSU rRNA
Rfam family: Bacterial small subunit ribosomal RNA
Source: RNAcentral